GUGCUCCCCUCAGCAAUACAUAUACUAAAAUUGGAAUACAAAGAAAAUUAGCAUAGUCCUUGCACAAAGAUGGCACACAAAUUUGUGAAGUGUUCUAUAUUUUU
Molecule: small nuclear RNA, 104 nt
Organism: Arvicola amphibius (Eurasian water vole)
Lineage: Eukaryota; Metazoa; Chordata; Mammalia; Rodentia; Cricetidae
Source: RefSeq, a predicted model, not a curated record